Molecule: long non-coding RNA, 388 nt
Organism: Macrobrachium nipponense
Lineage: Eukaryota; Metazoa; Arthropoda; Malacostraca; Decapoda; Palaemonidae
Exons: 3
Source: RefSeq, a predicted model, not a curated record
UUAAAGCAGUGGUAUACAAUCAGUCAUUUUUGGCUUGCACAGGUAAACUGAGUUAGGUGUUUUAGAAUAUGCCUGAUAUUUGAUAUAUUUUUCAUAGGAAAGGGAGAAGUAGAUUGAAAUUGCAUGAGAUGAUGCAUCAUGACAGAGGGCACAGAAUAUUAUCAGCAGAUUGCCCAGUUGCAAAAGGCUUUGAGAGAAAGAGAACUUCAUCGUCUUGAGCUUGAGAGAGAACAUUAGCCAGGCUUCAGCGCCGUGAAAAGAGGCAUGAGCAGUUGAGAUCCAAGAUUAAAGCUUUACAUCAGGAAUUAAUACAAGAAGAAAUUGAGUCAACCCAAAGGGUAACCCUUCUGUUGUCUCAGGUAGACUCUGUACGAAGGGAGUAUGAAUU